UCGGGCUCGGCCCGAUCCUCCCA
RNAcentral lists this ribosomal RNA (23 nucleotides) under Botryosphaeria dothidea. RNAcentral's name for it is "partial 18S ribosomal RNA". Lineage: Eukaryota; Fungi; Ascomycota; Dothideomycetes; Botryosphaeriales; Botryosphaeriaceae. The record is from RNAcentral.